This 374-nucleotide ribosomal RNA is filed under the name uncultured bacterium. Its description in RNAcentral is "bacterial SSU rRNA". It matches the Rfam family "Bacterial small subunit ribosomal RNA", at positions 28 to 404 of the family's 1533-position model. The record is from RNAcentral.
GACGAACGCUGGCGGCGUGCUUAACACAUGCAAGUCGAGCGGUAAGGCCCUUUCGGGGGUACACGAGCGGCGAACGGGUGAGUAACACGUGGGUGACCUGCCCUCAGCUCUGGGAUAAGCCUGGGAAACCGGGUCUAAUACUGGAUAUGACUCCAUGACGCAUGUUGUGGGGUGGAAAGCCUUGUGCGGCUGAGGAUGGGCCCGCGGCCUAUCAGCUUGUUGGUGGGGGAUGGCCUACCAAGGCGACGACGGGUAGCCGGCCUGAGAGGGCGACCGGCCACACUGGGACUGAGACACGGCCCAGACUCCUACGGGAGGCAGCAGUGGGGAAUCUUGCGCAAUGGGCGAAAGCCUGACGCAGCGACGCCGCGUGA